RNAcentral lists this ribosomal RNA (467 nucleotides) under uncultured bacterium. Its description in RNAcentral is "partial 16S ribosomal RNA". It matches the Rfam family "Bacterial small subunit ribosomal RNA", at positions 28 to 507 of the family's 1533-position model. The record is from RNAcentral.
GAUGAACGCUGGCGGCGUGCUUAACACAUGCAAGUCGAACGGAAAGGCCCAAGCUUGCUUGGGUACUCGAGUGGCGAACGGGUGAGUAACACGUGGGUGAUCUGCCCUGCACUUCGGGAUAAGCCUGGGAAACUGGGUCUAAUACCGGAUAGGACCACAUUUUGGAUGGUGUGGUGGAAAGUUUUUCGGUGUGGGAUGAGCUCGGGGCCUAUCAGCUUGGUGGUGGGGUAAUGGCCUACCAAGGCGUCGACGGGUAGCCGGCCUGAGAGGGUGUACGGCCACAUUGGGACUGAGAUACGGGCCAGACUCCUACGGGAGGCAGCAGUGGGGAAUAUUGGACAAUGGGCGCAAGCCUGAGGCAGCGACGCCGCGUGGGGGAUGACGGCCUUCGGGUUGUAAACUCCUGUCGCUAGGGACGAAGCGUUUUUGUGACGGUACCUGGAGAAGAAGCACCGGCUAACUACGUG